UUAAGCGACUAAGCGUACACGGUGGAUGCCCUGGCAGUCAGAGGCGAUGAAGGACGUGCUAAUCUGCGAUAAGCGUCGGUGAGGUGAUAUGAACCGUUAUAACCGGCGAUUUCCGAAUGGGGAAACCCAGUGUGUUUCGACACACUAUCAUUAACUGAAUCCAUAGGUUAAUGAGGCGAACCGGGGGAACUGAAACAUCUAAGUACCCCGAGGAAAAGAAAUCAACCGAGAUUCCCCCAGUAGCGGCGAGCGAACGGGGAGGAGCCCAGAGCCUGAAUCAGUGUGUGUGUUAGUGGAAGCGUCUGGAAAGGCGCGCGAUACAGGGUGACAGCCCCGUACACAAAAAUGCACAUAUUGUGAGCUCGAUGAGUAGGGCGGGACACGUGGUAUCCUGUCUGAAUAUGGGGGGACCAUCCUCCAAGGCUAAAUACUCCUGACUGACCGAUAGUGAACCAGUACCGUGAGGGAAAGGCGAAAAGAACCCCGGCGAGGGGAGUGAAAAAGAACCUGAAACCGUGUACGUACAAGCAGUGGGAGCCUCUUUAUGGGGUGACUGCGUACCUUUUGUAUAAUGGGUCAGCGACUUAUAUUCUGUAGCAAGGUUAACCGAAUAGGGGAGCCGAAGGGAAACCGAGUCUUAACUGGGCGUUAAGUUGCAGGGUAUAGACCCGAAACCCGGUGAUCUAGCCAUGGGCAGGUUGAAGGUUGGGUAACACUAACUGGAGGACCGAACCGACUAAUGUUGAAAAAUUAGCGGAUGACUUGUGGCUGGGGGUGAAAGGCCAAUCAAACCGGGAGAUAGCUGGUUCUCCCCGAAAGCUAUUUAGGUAGCGCCUCGUGAAUUCAUCUCCGGGGGUAGAGCACUGUUUCGGCAAGGGGGUCAUCCCGACUUACCAACCCGAUGCAAACUGCGAAUACCGGAGAAUGUUAUCACGGGAGACACACGGCGGGUGCUAACGUCCGUCGUGAAGAGGGAAACAACCCAGACCGCCAGCUAAGGUCCCAAAGUCAUGGUUAAGUGGGAAACGAUGUGGGAAGGCCCAGACAGCCAGGAUGUUGGCUUAGAAGCAGCCAUCAUUUAAAGAAAGCGUAAUAGCUCACUGGUCGAGUCGGCCUGCGCGGAAGAUGUAACGGGGCUAAACCAUGCACCGAAGCUGCGGCAGCGACACUAUGUGUUGUUGGGUAGGGGAGCGUUCUGUAAGCCUGUGAAGGUGGCCUGUGAGGGUUGCUGGAGGUAUCAGAAGUGCGAAUGCUGACAUAAGUAACGAUAAAGCGGGUGAAAAGCCCGCUCGCCGGAAGACCAAGGGUUCCUGUCCAACGUUAAUCGGGGCAGGGUGAGUCGACCCCUAAGGCGAGGCCGAAAGGCGUAGUCGAUGGGAAACAGGUUAAUAUUCCUGUACUUGGUGUUACUGCGAAGGGGGGACGGAGAAGGCUAUGUUGGCCGGGCGACGGUUGUCCCGGUUUAAGCGUGUAGGCUGGUUUUCCAGGCAAAUCCGGAAAACCAAGGCUGAGGCGUGAUGACGAGGCACUACGGUGCUGAAGCGACAAAUGCCCUGCUUCCAGGAAAAGCCUCUAAGCAUCAGGUAACAUCAAAUCGUACCCCAAACCGACACAGGUGGUCAGGUAGAGAAUACCAAGGCGCUUGAGAGAACUCGGGUGAAGGAACUAGGCAAAAUGGUGCCGUAACUUCGGGAGAAGGCACGCUGAUAUGUAGGUGAAGCGACUUGCUCGUGGAGCUGAAAUCAGUCGAAGAUACCAGCUGGCUGCAACUGUUUAUUAAAAACACAGCACUGUGCAAACACGAAAGUGGACGUAUACGGUGUGACGCCUGCCCGGUGCCGGAAGGUUAAUUGAUGGGGUUAGCGGUAACGCGAAGCUCUUGAUCGAAGCCCCGGUAAACGGCGGCCGUAACUAUAACGGUCCUAAGGUAGCGAAAUUCCUUGUCGGGUAAGUUCCGACCUGCACGAAUGGCGUAAUGAUGGCCAGGCUGUCUCCACCCGAGACUCAGUGAAAUUGAACUCGCUGUGAAGAUGCAGUGUACCCGCGGCAAGACGGAAAGACCCCGUGAACCUUUACUAUAGCUUGACACUGAACAUUGAGCCUUGAUGUGUAGGAUAGGUGGGAGGCUUUGAAGUGUGGACGCCAGUCUGCAUGGAGCCGACCUUGAAAUACCACCCUUUAAUGUUUGAUGUUCUAACGUUGGCCCGUAAUCCGGGUUGCGGACAGUGUCUGGUGGGUAGUUUGACUGGGGCGGUCUCCUCCUAAAGAGUAACGGAGGAGCACGAAGGUUGGCUAAUCCUGGUCGGACAUCAGGAGGUUAGUGCAAUGGCAUAAGCCAGCUUGACUGCGAGCGUGACGGCGCGAGCAGGUGCGAAAGCAGGUCAUAGUGAUCCGGUGGUUCUGAAUGGAAGGGCCAUCGCUCAACGGAUAAAAGGUACUCCGGGGAUAACAGGCUGAUACCGCCCAAGAGUUCAUAUCGACGGCGGUGUUUGGCACCUCGAUGUCGGCUCAUCACAUCCUGGGGCUGAAGUAGGUCCCAAGGGUAUGGCUGUUCGCCAUUUAAAGUGGUACGCGAGCUGGGUUUAGAACGUCGUGAGACAGUUCGGUCCCUAUCUGCCGUGGGCGCUGGAGAACUGAGGGGGGCUGCUCCUAGUACGAGAGGACCGGAGUGGACGCAUCACUGGUGUUCGGGUUGUCAUGCCAAUGGCACUGCCCGGUAGCUAAAUGCGGAAGAGAUAAGUGCUGAAAGCAUCUAAGCACGAAACUUGCCCCGAGAUGAGUUCUCCCUGAGACUUAGAGUCUCCUGAAGGAACGUUGAAGACGACGACGUUGAUAGGCCGGGUGUGUAAGCGCAGCGAUGCGUUGAGCUAACCGGUACUAAUGAACCGUGAGGCUUNNNNNN
RNAcentral lists this ribosomal RNA (2902 nucleotides) under Escherichia coli. Its description in RNAcentral is "bacterial LSU rRNA". It matches the Rfam family "Bacterial large subunit ribosomal RNA". Lineage: Bacteria; Pseudomonadati; Pseudomonadota; Gammaproteobacteria; Enterobacterales; Enterobacteriaceae. The record is from RNAcentral.